RNAcentral lists this unclassified non-coding RNA (379 nucleotides) under uncultured Oligoflexales bacterium. RNAcentral's name for it is "contains 16S-23S intergenic spacer region". The record is from RNAcentral. Lineage: Bacteria; Pseudomonadati; Bdellovibrionota; Oligoflexia; Oligoflexales.
UCCGUGUUAACCACGGCAGUCUCCUUAGAGAGCCCAACUUAAUGCUGGCAACUAAGGACAAGGGUUGCGCUCGUUGCGGGACUUAACCCAACAUGUCACCACACGAGCUGACGACAGCCAUGCAGCACCUGUCUUCCUGCUGUAUUGCUACAGAAGCCCUAUCUCUAGGGUUGUCAGGAGAUGUCAAAUCCAGGUAAGGUUCUUCGCGUUGCUUCGAAUUAAACCACAUGAUCCACCGCUUGUGCGGGCCCCCGUCAAUUCCUUUGAGUUUUAGUCUUGCGACCGUACUUCCCAGGCGGGGUACUUAGUGCGUUAGCUCCGGUUCGGCGGGGAAUCGAAUCCCCAACACCUAGUAUGCAUCGUUUACGGCGUGGACUAA